UGCCAGCCGCCGCGGUAAUACGGAAGGUCCAAGCGUUAAUCGGAAUUACUGGGCGUAAAGCACGCGUAGGUGAUUUAUUAAGUUGGAUGUGAAAUCCCCGGGCUCAACCUGGGAACUGCAUCCAAAACUAAUUCACUAGAGUACGAUAGAGGGAGGUAGAAUUCACAGUGUAGCGGUGGAAUGCGUAGAUAUUGUGAAGAAUACCAAUGGCGAAGGCAGCCUCCUGGAUCUGUACUGACACUGAGGUGCGAAAGCGUGGGUAGCGAACAGGAUUAGAUA
RNAcentral lists this ribosomal RNA (279 nucleotides) under uncultured bacterium. Its description in RNAcentral is "partial 16S ribosomal RNA". It matches the Rfam family "Bacterial small subunit ribosomal RNA", at positions 506 to 784 of the family's 1533-position model. The record is from RNAcentral.